Molecule: ribosomal RNA, 812 nt
Filed under: uncultured bacterium
Lineage: Bacteria
Description: bacterial SSU rRNA
Rfam family: Bacterial small subunit ribosomal RNA
Source: RNAcentral
UGCAGUCGACGGUAGCAGGCCUUCGGGCGCUGACGAGUGGCGGACGGGUGAGUAACGCGUAGGAAUCUGCCUCAUAGUGGGGGACAACGUGGGGAAACUCACGCUAAUACCGCAUACGCCCGACGGGGGAAAGCGGGGGAUCUUCGGACCUCGCGCUAUGAGAUGAGCCUGCGUUAGAUUAGCUAGUUGGUAGGGUAAAGGCCUACCAAGGCGACGAUCUAUAGCUGGUCUGAGAGGACGAUCAGCCACACUGGGACUGAGACACGGCCCAGACUCCUACGGGAGGCAGCAGUGGGGAAUAUUGGACAAUGGGCGCAAGCCUGAUCCAGCAAUACCGCGUGUGUGAAGAAGGCCCUAGGGUUGUAAAGCACUUUCAAUUGGGAGGAAAACCUGCCGGUCAAUACCCGGCAGCUUGACAUUACCUUUAGAAGAAGCACCGGCUAACUCCGUGCCAGCAGCCGCGGUAAUACGGAGGGUGCAAGCGUUAAUCGGAAUUACUGGGCGUAAAGCGUGCGUAGGCGGUUCGUUAAGUCAGAUGUGAAAGCCCCGGGCUUAACCUGGGAACUGCAUUUGAAACUGGCGGACUUGAGUUGAGUAGAGGGGAGUGGAAUUUCAGGUGUAGCGGUGAAAUGCGUAGAUAUCUGAAGGAACACCAGUGGCGAAGGCGACUCCCCGGACUCAAACUGACGCUGAGGUACGAAAGCGUGGGUAGCAAACAGGAUUAGAUACCCUGGUAGUCCACGCUGUAAACGAUGUCAACUAGCCGUUGGUCCUAUUUACAGGAUUAGUGGCGCAGCUAACGCAUUAAGUUG